UUUCUCCAUCGCAUCACCUAUGUCCUUGAACUUGGAAACUGAUUUAGUUUUCUGUAUUUUUGCCUCUUUUAAGCAUGGGUCUCUUUUGCCCUAGGCUUUCUUAUCCUUGGCUACUUUGAGUAAUGAUUCCAUCUAUUCAGGGGCCAGGACUUGGAUCCCAUCCUAACGUUAGUCUGAGAGGUCAGCAGAGCUAACAGCAGAGCAGACACCAUCUGGGUUUCCAGCUGCCAACACUGGUCAUGGGUGGGGUGCAGGACCGGGCUCAAACAGUGUGGACGUCACUCAGGAAAACUGCCUACUGACAUCUUCGUCGGCACCUAGGGUAUUGUUCACGAUGAAAAUGUUUUUCAUCCCGGUCGUCAUUUGCUGGGUGCUCUGGAGAUCAUCAGUGUCCUCUGCAGGUAGUUCCCAGCCAGGACGUGGCGUGGUAAAGGGCUGCAGGAGUGGACCCCCAGGCCCCUGA
This 463-nucleotide long non-coding RNA is filed under the name Sus scrofa (pig). Its description in RNAcentral is "lncRNA (ENSSSCG00005011401.1)". The record is from RNAcentral. Lineage: Eukaryota; Metazoa; Chordata; Mammalia; Artiodactyla; Suidae.